CGUUUAUCUCGUUUAACAGACUCUAAAAACAGACGAAGAAGUUAUUUGUUUCAAUAUAUGCAACGUAAACCACAAUUUUAUACAAGGGAAUAAUAUUUACUUGCGAUGGUUUAAUGACUUCAAUAGCUCCGAUGUUUCCAUACCUCUUUUCAUUCCAAUUGCACUAGAAACUUUUUUCUUCGAAUCAUUUACCUACAAAGAAACGUACGAUUAGGCAGGAACAAUUUGCUUAGCGAUGCUGUCAGUCCCAUUGGGAUCAGAACCCAUGUGCCAUCUGACAAAACCUCCCAUAACGCUACGACAUGCUGAUCCAGAGCCAAUACGAGCAAUCGAACUGAUAUCACCC
This is a long non-coding RNA of Colletes gigas, 346 nucleotides long. RefSeq lists it as uncharacterized. The record is from RefSeq and is a predicted model, not a curated record. Lineage: Eukaryota; Metazoa; Arthropoda; Insecta; Hymenoptera; Colletidae. The transcript is spliced from 3 exons.